RNAcentral lists this ribosomal RNA (378 nucleotides) under Triticum aestivum (bread wheat). Its description in RNAcentral is "partial small subunit ribosomal RNA". Lineage: Eukaryota; Viridiplantae; Streptophyta; Magnoliopsida; Poales; Poaceae. The record is from RNAcentral.
AUGAUUCCAAAUUAUCCCCAGUUUCAGAGAGCUCCCUCCAUAGUGUCCAUGGCGUCCUCAUCAUCGACCAGCCAGAGAAACCCACCCCGGGAGCGGUUGUCGCUCAUCCCAUGCCUGUACUGCCAUGAUAGGAUGAUGACCUUCAUCUGUGUUCCAACUGGAUCUAGGCCCGGCGACCGUUUCUACAAAUGUAUUCGGAAAGAUUCCGGAGGGGUACGCGAGGUACCUGACGACCGAUCGAGCUAUGGAUGUGGUCCAACUUCAGAUCCAGGAUGGAGUUCGUCCAGUUGCAGCCUCGGCGGUGGAAUAGCACAUCGGCGCAAUCAUAGCCAUGGUGACAAAUCUGCUCAGAGGGUGUGCAAUGAAGAAAAGAUUUAG